AUGAGUAUUGUAUUUAUUCCUCCACAAAUUCAACAGUGCUUGCCAAGGACCUGCUAUGUGCCAGGUGCUGCUGGAGCUGGGAACCUAACGAUCACAGUGUCUGCCUCUGCCAGCCUUUGUGUGUGUGGCAGGGGUGGUUUUGAGUCCCACCAUCUUCCAUCCCUGAUGCUUGGAGAACCUGAGGACACACAAGAUUCGUUUGGUGGCCCAUUGAUCUGAAUUGCAAGAAACAGAAGCCAUAUUCAAAUAGAAUAUUAAAAAU
This 262-nucleotide long non-coding RNA is filed under the name Piliocolobus tephrosceles (Ugandan red Colobus). RNAcentral describes it as "lncRNA (ENSPTEG00000025421.1)". Lineage: Eukaryota; Metazoa; Chordata; Mammalia; Primates; Cercopithecidae. The record is from RNAcentral.